CCAGAUGUUGCUGAACUACAACCCCCAUGAUUCUUUAAAUGAAAUGGCCAGGGAAUCAUGGGAGUUGUAGUUCAGCAACAUUUGG
This 85-nucleotide microRNA precursor is filed under the name Pelobates cultripes (western spadefoot toad). The record is from RNAcentral. Lineage: Eukaryota; Metazoa; Chordata; Amphibia; Anura; Pelobatidae.